Molecule: ribosomal RNA, 467 nt
Filed under: uncultured Thermovirga sp.
Lineage: Bacteria; Thermotogati; Synergistota; Synergistia; Synergistales; Thermovirgaceae
Description: bacterial SSU rRNA
Rfam family: Bacterial small subunit ribosomal RNA
Source: RNAcentral
CCCGGCACAAGCGGUGGAGCAUGUGGUUUAAUUCGACGCAACGCGAAGAACCUUACCAGGUCUUGACAUCCCUUGACAGCCUCAGAGAUGAGGUGUUCUAGCUUCGGUUAGACAAGGAGACAGGUGGUGCAUGGUUGUCGUCAGCUCGUGUCGUGAGAUGUUGGGUUAAGUCCCGCAACGAGCGCAACCCCUGCAUUCAGUUGCCAACGGUAAGGCCGGGCACUCUGGAUGGACUGCCGGCGACAAGCCGGAGGAAGGUGGGAUGACGUCAAGUCAUCAUGGCCCUUAUGUCCAGGGCGACACACGUGCUACAAUGGCCGGCACAGCGGGAAGCGAGGGGGCGACCUUGAGCGGAUCCCUCAAAGCCGGUCUCAGUUCGGAUUGCAGUCUGCAACUCGACUGCAUGAAGUUGGAAUCGCUAGUAAUCGUGGAUCAGCCAAGCCGCGGUGAAUACGUUCCCGGGCCUU